RNAcentral lists this long non-coding RNA (1099 nucleotides) under Numida meleagris (helmeted guineafowl). Its description in RNAcentral is "lncRNA (ENSNMEG00000006613.1)". Lineage: Eukaryota; Metazoa; Chordata; Aves; Galliformes; Numididae. The record is from RNAcentral.
GUCUUCAAAAAAAAAGUGGGUUUUUUAAUCAGCUUAUUGCAGCCUUCCAUGUAUAAUAACACACUUAUAUGGCAGUAAACCUGGAAUCCUACAGGAGUUUGUUGUAAAGUGACAGAUUCAGGUCAAAGCUGUUAAUGAGCAACCAGACUGAUGUGUGAUGCACAAUGAAGAGGAAAAGGACAUUAUUGUUUUACAGGUCACUAUCAAUGCCUGUGAGAGUGGGGCCCUCAGACAGCAGAACUGCCAGGGAAAAUAAAAGCAUAUCUGGAAUAACACCUCCUGUCCUGAUGUCUCUCCUCCUGUUGAUACAGUGCAAUGGCUGAGACUAAAAAAUAAUGAAAUAUAUGCAUGUGUGUAGAAAUGGUAUGUACAUGCUGUGUUUCUGGUUUCAUGAUGUCAAGUCUCUUGACUUCCUUGAAUCUAGCAGCACCAGGUGCUCUUUGCUCUGCUCCUGGCAGCAUCUUUGAGAACUCAUGACUUCAGAUCCCACUGGCACACCCUAUUCAAAGAGACUCUGAGCACUCUGCAAAACCACCAAGGCUGAACUCCUUUUUCCCAUUUAGACAAGUCUAUGUUCUAGACGAGAUCAAUGACAGGUAUUCGCAACCAGGUGUAGCUCAGGUAAUCGAAAAGUACCAUGUACGUUUAGCUCCUAUUUCCAUCAGAAAUAUUGAAUUUCGAAUUAUCUUGGGUUUUUUUAGGCUUCUUUUAGAAGUUCAGUCAAAAUAAUUCAGUUGACCAUUUUCUACUGAGGGCUGUGGUGCUGGCAACACCCAACACAUCUCGCAGCAAUGUUUCACUGGCAAAAGCUUCCCUAAUAGAAGGCGUCCUUGUGAUUUUCCUGUUUCAUUUUGUUUCUUUGUUCAGUUACAUUUGUUUGAAUUUUUCCACAGCAUUAUAUUAUUUUGAGCUGGACUUACACGGUGUGUUUUACAUACAAAGCUAACGGGCUGGUGGUGGUCAUUACUGAGCCAACACUGAUAAGAGGGAAGGGUCAGCAACAGGAUUGGUUUGGGGAGUAAGAGAGUCCUCCCUGCUCAGUGAGGUCAGUAAUCCAAUUUCUUUUGUGCCUGACUGUAUCUCUUCAGGGUCACCUAAC